Molecule: long non-coding RNA, 1175 nt
Organism: Gasterosteus aculeatus aculeatus (three-spined stickleback)
Lineage: Eukaryota; Metazoa; Chordata; Actinopteri; Perciformes; Gasterosteidae
Source: Ensembl
GCUGCUCGUCCGCUUUCGCACCUCACACCCGAAGCCCUGCUGUUCCCAUGACGACGAGCUGAAGAGCCGAUGGGCUUUGUGCUGAAGACCAAAAAAAAACAAACCCAAAAGAACUUUCAAUUCAUUUGUCCUGCUUGUUUAAACAGCUCAGAGAGAGCCAGGAAUUAGACCGAUCCCACUGCCAGAACCACAGUGGUCCUCUUUGUUUCCAAAUAAGAAUCUUUCAGAGGCGCAUUUGAAGAAAGAACUGACCGGUAAUAGAAAAUAAUGAUUUAGUUAUUUAGUUAGCAUCACUUUGGAGACCAGUAAUGAUCAUGGAGGAGGAGGAGGACGGCGUGACUGUAAACGAACAGCAGGAAACUCUUCGUACUAAAGAUGUGAAUCGGCCCCGUAAACCUGGAGCAGGAAAACCCCCUCAGAGUCCGUCUUUAUUCUUCGGGAUUUUAUCAGCAGCUUAGCUGUCGCCAUGGUUACCAGCAGAGAAGUCCCCAAAACACAGAAUGAGAAAGUGAAAGAGAAACGUGAUGAAUCAUUGGAAAUUCCCAGGAAAACAAAUUCCGAGACCAGAGAAGAAAUACACAUCUUUUUAAUAAAAGCACAGUGUGAAAAACAAAUGGAAACAUUGAUGGUGGAGGAACAGAGUACCGAACCAGCUGAAACUCUCUUCUUCUGGUUGUUUAAAACGCAGCGGAGUCACAUGGGAACGUUUGACAAGAGUCAAAGGGACAAACGCGAGGCCCACAGCUGAUCACGUCUUUGAUCCACAGAAACGGAGAACAACUGAUGUUCAUGUGCCGGCAUUGUGUAAAGAGACUACAUGCGCGCGUCAUUAUAGUGUCGUACUGAUCAUUCAUCUUAUUAAAGUCAAUGCAACCUCUGCCGUCUGCUGUCAGCUACGUCAUGAAGCAGUGUGGUUUUGUGCCAUGGAAGUGGUCCUGCAAUGAUGCAACCAUGUGCUGAAUUACACAUUUUGGAUAUUGUAGCCAGCGGAGGAGUCAAAAGUAUUCACAUUCACUACUCAAGUAGAAGUGUAGACACCAGGUGUUAAAAAGACUUCUGUAAGAGUUGAAGAAUCAACUUAAAAAGUACGGGUUUCAAAACUACUUAAAAAGUAAAAGUAAUGCAAGAGGGGAAAAAAAUCCAUUAAGGACAAACUCUUAAAGUGUAACAGAACA